GCCAAUGUGGUGUAGUGGUUUGAGCACUGGAUUAUGACUCUAGAGACCAGGGUUUGAUUCCCCUCUUGGCCA
Molecule: non-coding RNA, 72 nt
Organism: Phrynosoma platyrhinos (Desert horned lizard)
Lineage: Eukaryota; Metazoa; Chordata; Lepidosauria; Squamata; Phrynosomatidae
Source: the annotation of a GenBank genome assembly